Entelurus aequoreus (snake pipefish) is the source of this 3132-nucleotide long non-coding RNA. RefSeq lists it as uncharacterized. NCBI's taxonomy places the organism in Eukaryota, Metazoa, Chordata, Actinopteri, Syngnathiformes, Syngnathidae. The record is from RefSeq and is a predicted model, not a curated record. The transcript is spliced from 10 exons.
CCCCGCUAGCCUCAGCCCCGCUAGCCUCAGUGUGCUCUCCUGGACUGCAAAGCCAAAGACUACGAGCUCCCUCCUUUCCCUCUGGUUUUAUUAAUAAUAACCCUUGAACUUUAAUCCUGCUUGUCUUUUCUGCAUUUGGGUCCACCAGUUUUACCAAUCGUGACAGAACGAUCUGGCCUUUUUCAAUGGACCCAGCAGAUUUUGACCGUGUGAGAGAGGCCCUUGCCAAUCAAGGACAGCGUUUGGGAAACCAUGACCAACUACUACAGACACUUAUUGACCAGAUGUCACGCGUUUCCACCCAGCUCACCACUCUCAUCAACAAGCUCAACCACAACCCGAACCACCUGCACCCCCUGCUGUUCCUGCUGCAGAGCCACACAUCCCCCCGCCUGAUAAGUACUCUGGCAAUCCUAGCACUUGUCGUGAAUUUUUAACUCAGAUCCAGCUUGCUUUUGAUGCUCAGCCCUCUCGCUUUGGCCGUGAGGCAGCCAAAAUUGCUUACGUAGCCAACCUGCUACAGGGGCCCCCUUUGAGUUAUUUCAAUGCCCUUCGUGAGCAAGGAUCCCCCGCAGUCCAGUCUUUUGCUGCACUAUCUGCAGAAAUGAAGCGGGUCUACGACCACCCCAUACGAGGGCAGCAAGCAGGUCAGCAGUUGUUGCGACUUCGUCAAGGGAAAAGCUCAGUAAGAGAAUUUGCCUGUGAAUUCCGGUCCCUAGCUGUGGAGUCUGGCUGGAAUGACAAGGCCCUUCUCACUGCUUUUCAGAAUGGGCUUAGUCGGGUCAUUGGAAGGGAGAUUGCUCUGAGGAAUGAGCAGCUGUCCCUAGACGAAGCUAUUACUGCAGCUAUCAACAUCUCUGACCAGAUGGCCCAGUGGCAAGCUGACCCCGUGCCUUGCAGGUCAUCGGAACCCCCCAGCUUUAGACCCAGGCCGGCCGGGCCCAACUUGCCAAUGUGCACAGCCUCAACCUCCAGUUCCCCUGUUGAGGAGCCCAUGCAGGUGGGCCGGGCUCACCUUACACCUGAAGAGCGCCUCCGCAGAAGGAGGGCAGGGGUGUGUCUCUAUUGUGGUCAACCUGGCCAUUUCCUUGCCACCUGUUCUAUGCGGCCAAAAGAGUAGGCUCACCAGUAACAGUGGGGGUUCUGGUGAGCCAAGCUUUCUCCUCCCCUAAGUCCCUAUGCCGAAUGCAGUUUUCUGCUACUCUCCGUUGGCAAUCCCAGUCCUUGUCUCUCCUUGCUCUGGUGGACUCGGGGGUGGAUGAAAAUUUUUUGGACGCCGACGUUGCUUCCCAAGUGGGCAUUACCAUCGAGCCACUUCCCUCACCCUUGCAAGCCAAUUCCCUGACUGGUCGACUCCUUGCCCGUGUCACUCCCCAUAUGGCUCCUUUUGUGGUCGUUGAGUUCCUUGGUGAACAUUCAGUCGCUGUUGUCCCAACCAAAUGGACAGAAGAUGAUGGAAAGAAUACCUUCUGCUGUUGGCCAAGGCCAAAUCCUGCCCACUCCAGAAUCCGGAAAGCUGAGAUUCCUGACAAACAAUUCUGGGAGAGGCUGCCAAUUCGGGUUUUCAGGAAACAUUGACUGAAGACUUUGACAAGGCUCUUCAAUACGAAAAACAAGCUGAAAUGUUUUCGAGCCCAGAAGUGUUAACCAAACGGAGCCACAUCACCCCUGAACGUUAUAGAAACGAUGAGGAAGAUGUGUUUGAUGCUGAUGAUGAAGAGGAAAUUCGGCUAAAAAAGAAGUGCAGAAAAGAGAAAACACAGAUCUUCGUCCAGGCACCCCCACUGCCAGAGCUCCCAACCUUUAACUUUCCAAUCUCCAGCGAGUGCCAGACCACUUCAGCCAGUACCAGCCAAUACCAGACCACUCCAAGGCAUCCAGGCCGACCUCACAGCCCAGCGAGAAGCAGCACUUCCAGGCUCAGUCCAGACAGGAAUGCAUCCAGCUCAAGCCAGUACCAGACCACUCCAGCCAGUACGAGUCAGUACCAGACCGCUCCAAGAAGCAGCAGGAAUGCCCUUGACAGUGAACUUGAACAUGAAAGUUCAAAAUAUACUUGAGAACCAGGGAGAAAUUAUGCGCAUGCUGAGAGGGCUGGCAGCACAGUCUGUGGGGCCAGAAUCUGUGGAUGUUCAAGAUCUCAUUGAUCAGCCUUUCGAGACUCUUGAGCAGCUGAAGGCCUUCUGUGAACGGCUCGACACUGAUCUUCUGCUCAGAAAGCAGCUGGUGAAAGCUCUUACUGCUCUUGGUGGGCAGAAUUUGGCAGACACGGUGAGGACAAUGCUGAGGAAAAUUGCCACAAAGUCCUGGAGCAGCUUGGCCUCCGUGGAAAGUCAGGAAAAGUGGCGUUUGAGGACUUGCCCCUUUACAGAAUAAUAAAUAAGGCAUGCAGGGGUGUUUACAAGCAGACGACCACAGCUGAAGUGGAUUGUGAGCUUGGAGAGGUCCUGAAACUGGCCACUUUUUGAAAGGGAGGUUCAAAAUUUGAGGAGAAGAGGAGGAAUUAAGAGGGAGGACAAAAAAGGAAAAAGAAACAAGCAAAAGAACAGAGUGAGAUGAGAGGAUUUGGUUUUCCCUGCUUGGGCUGCUGCCCCCGCGACCCGACCUCGGAUAAGCGGAAGAAGAUGGAUGGAUGGAUUUACUUCCAGGAAGAGAACCAAGAAGGGGCAGGAUACACUGACGCGCACGACCAAGACCACUGCAUUCCAUUCCAUUUAUAAAUGAUAAAUGAUAAAUGGGUUAUAUGUCAAAGCGCUUUGAGUACCUUGAAGGUAGAAAAGCGCUAUACAAGUGUAUACUUGUAUAGCGCUUUUCUACCUUCAAGGUACUCAAAGCGCUUUGACAGUAUUUCCACAUUCACCCAUUCACACACACAUUCACACACUGAUGGAGGGAGCUGCCAUGCAAGGCGCUACCAGCACCCAUCAGGAGCAAGGGUGAAGUGUCUUGCCCAAGGACACAACGGACGUGCCUAGGAUGGAAGAAGGUGGGGAUUGAACCCCAGUAACCAUCAACCCUCCGAUUGCUGGCACGGCCACUCUACCAACUUCGCCACGCCGUCCCCAUUUUUGUAUUAUAUCACUAAUAAAGAAUUAUUUCUGUUGAAAUCACUAUCACAAAUAAAUAAUUAAU